This 253-nucleotide ribosomal RNA is filed under the name uncultured bacterium. RNAcentral's name for it is "partial 16S ribosomal RNA". It matches the Rfam family "Bacterial small subunit ribosomal RNA", at positions 524 to 776 of the family's 1533-position model. The record is from RNAcentral.
UACGAAGGGUGCAACCGUUGCUCGGAAUCAUUGGGCGUAAAGCGCACGUAGGCGGCGCAACAAGUCGGACGUGAAAUCCCUCGGCUCAACCGAGGACGUGCAUCCGAAACUGUUGUGCUCGAGUAUGGAAGAGGGUCGCGGAAUUCUCGGUGUAGAGGUGAAAUUCGUAGAUAUCGGGAGGAACACCAGUGGCGAAGGCGGCGACCUGGGACGUUACUGACGCUGAGACGCGAAAGCGUGGGGAGCAAACAGG